Molecule: unclassified non-coding RNA, 336 nt
Filed under: soil metagenome
Description: partial contains 5.8S ribosomal RNA, internal transcribed spacer 2, and large subunit ribosomal RNA
Rfam family: 5.8S ribosomal RNA (bases 1-120)
Source: RNAcentral
GAUGAAGAACGUAGCGAAAUGCGAUAAGUAAUGUGAAUUGCAGAAUUCAGUGAAUCAUCGAAUCUUUGAACGCACAUUGCGCCCCUUGGUAUUCCAUGGGGCAUGCUUGUUCGAGCGUCAUUUGUACUCUCAAGCUUUGCUUGGUGUUGGGUGUUUGUCCUUUCCCUGCGUCUGGACUCGCCUCAAAUUCAUUGGCAGCCGUUGUAUUGGUUUGAAGCGCAGCACAAUUUGCGAUUCUGGCUUGUAUCAUCAGCGUCCAUUAAGCACAAUUAACACUUUUGACCUCGGAUCAAGUAGGGAUACCCGCUGAACUUAAGCAUAUCAAUAAGCGGAGGA